CUAAACCCUCACCAGAGUAACAAUUGGAGGGCAAGUCUGGUGCCAGCAGCCGCGGUAAUUCCAGCUCCAAUAGCGUAUAUUAAACUUGUUGCAGUUAAAAAGCUCGUAGUUGAAUUUCUGCGUUAUCGAGUUAUUGACUCUUGUCUUUAAUCGAUUUCGCUUUUGGGAUUUAUCCCUUUUUACUUUGAGAAAAUUAGAGUGUUUCAAGCAGACUUUUGUCUUGAAUACUUCAGCAUGGAAUAAUAGAGUAGGACUUUGGUUCUAUUUUGUUGGUUUUUGAACCUUAGUAAUGGUUAAUAGGAACGGUUGGGGGCAUUCGUAUUUAACUGUCAGAGGUGAAAUUCUUAGAUUUGUUAAAGACGAACUACUGCGAAAGCAUUUGCCAAGGACGUUUCCAUUAAUCAAGAACGAAAGUUAGGGGAUCGAAGACGAUCAGAUACCGUCGUAGUC
RNAcentral lists this ribosomal RNA (450 nucleotides) under Babesia venatorum (nom. ined.). RNAcentral describes it as "SSU rRNA". It matches the Rfam family "Eukaryotic small subunit ribosomal RNA", at positions 525 to 1025 of the family's 1831-position model. The record is from RNAcentral. Lineage: Eukaryota; Apicomplexa; Aconoidasida; Piroplasmida; Babesiidae.